GACGGAGGAUGCAAGUGUUAUCCGGAAUCACUGGGCGUAAAGCGUCUGUAGGUGGUUUAAUAAGUCAACUGUUAAAUCUUGAGGCUCAACCUCAAAAUCGCAGUCGAAACUAUUAGGCUAGAGUAUAGUAGGGGUAAAGGGAAUUUCCAGUGGAGCGGUGAAAUGCGUAGAGAUUGGAAAGAACACCGAUGGCGAAGGCACUUUACUGGGCUAUUACUAACACUCAGAGACGAAAGCUAGGGUAGCAAAUAGGGA
This 255-nucleotide ribosomal RNA is filed under the name uncultured bacterium. Its description in RNAcentral is "partial 16S ribosomal RNA". It matches the Rfam family "Bacterial small subunit ribosomal RNA", at positions 524 to 778 of the family's 1533-position model. The record is from RNAcentral.